CUCGUAAACUCGUACGAGUUUACGAGUUUACCAGAGCUUACCUGUACAACUCGGAGGUAAACUCGUUUUUUAGUGAACUCGGAGCAAUCUCGGUGAACUCGGAGCAAUCUCGGUGAACUCGCGAGACUACCUCCGUUUUUAAGAGUUCACCAUUUUUUUUUCCACUUACACAAAACGCACGUUUUGUGUUUUUUUGUGUUAGGGCACAAAACCCACGCCUCACCUCCACGGCUCUUCAGAUCAUCAACCCACGCCUCACCUCCUCCGAGCGUCCGCGCGCCUCACCUCCUCCGAGCGUCCGCGCGCCUCACCUCCUUCGCGGAACUCCUCUGCGCGCCUCACCUCCUUCGUGGAACUCCUCUGCGCGACACCUCCUCUCCGCGCGACACCUCCUCUCCGCGCGACACCUCCUCCCCGCGCGACUCCUCCGGCGCGUCUCACCUCCUCCGUGCGCCUCACCUCCUCCGUGCGCCACACCUCGUCCGUGCGUCUCACCGCCUCCGUGCGCCUCACCUCCUCUCCGCGCGACUCCUCCGGCGCGUCUCACCUCCUCCGGCGCGCCUCACCUCCGGCGCGUCUCCUCUCCUCUCCGCGCGACUCCUCCGCGAGCGCAUCACCUGGUCCGCGCGACUCCUUCGCGCCCGCGACACAGGUUUUUAAAUUUUACAUUUUUACUUUUUUUUGUGAUUCAUUGAAUCAUUGUUAAUUUCUACUAUAAUCAUUUCUGAUUGCGCAACUCCGUCCGACUAUCAUUUCUGAUUCUGUCUAUAGUAAUUUCUACUAUAAUCAUGUCUGGGAGUGGAUCAAAUUCUGGUAGUGGUAGUGGAUCAGCAGCCUCUUCUGUUGCUAGAAAUAAAAAUGCCCCAGGAAACAGGUCAGAUAUUGGGUGGAAGCAUGGGACAGAUGUUCAGGGCAAUGCAAGAAAAGUGAAAUGUAAUUAUUGCUCAAAGAUUGUGAGUGGAGGAAUUUCUAGAUUCAAGCAUCAUCUUGCAGGGACUAGAGAAGAUUCAGAGCCUUGUGCUUCAGUGCCCGAAGAAAUUAAGUUACUUAUGUUAAAAGUUGUUGUGGAGGCUAAAGAGGCAUCAUUGAAGAAAAGAAGAUUGAAUAGUAUUGAUGAAGAAGAAGUUGAGGAACAACAAAGUCAGGGGGUGGCCUUGGAGACAAAUAAUCAAAGGAAGUUGUGGUGCAAAGGAAAAGGAAAAGUUCUUACUGGUAGUGGAGGAGGAGUUCAAGCAACUAUAAAUCAAAUGAUGAAAAAGGGAUAUAAAGAAGAAGUUGAUGCUCAAGUUGCUGAAUUUUUUUACACAAGUGCCAUUCCAUUCAAUGUUAUUAAAAAUCCAGCAUUUGCAAAAAUGUGUGAGAUGAUUGGAAAAUAUGGGAUUGGCUAUAAACCUCCAUCCUACCAUGAUAUUAGAGAGAAGCUCUUGAAACAAGCAGUCCAGAACACCGAUGCAUUACUUGAAGAAUAUAAGGAGGAGUGGAAGAGAACUGGCUGCUCAAUUAUGUCUGAUGGGUGGACAGACAGAAAAAGGAGAUCUAUUUGUAAUUUUUUGGUGAAUAGUCCAAAAGGGACUGUAUUUUUAUAUUCAUUGGAUACUUCUGAUAUCUCAAAAACUACUGACAAAGUUUUUAAGAUGUUGGAUGAUGUAGUGACAUAUGUUGGAGAAGAAAAUGUAGUGCAAGUGGUUACUGAUAAUGCUGCAAAUUACAAGGCAGCAGGAGAAUUGUUGAUGAGGACUCGACAAAACUUGUAUUGGACCCCAUGUGCUGCCCAUUGCAUUGAUUUGAUAUUUGAGGAUUUUGAGAAACACCUGAAGGUUCAUCAAACUACUAUAAAGAAGGGGAGGAGGAUCACUACCUACAUAUAUGGUAGAAGCAUGCUCAUUAGCAUGCUAAAAAAGUUUACAAAAGGAAGAGAUUUGAUUAGGCCUGGCAUGACUAGAUUUGCAACAGCUUAUUUGACUUUGUCUUGUCUCCAUGAAAUGAAACCAUCAUUGAUGACCAUGUUUAGCUCUGAAGAGUAGAAGGAAAGUAAGUUUGGAACUUCACAAGAGGGAAGAAAUAUUGAAAAUACAAUUUUAGAUAGUCGAUAUUGGAAGAAUGUAACCAUUUGUCUCAAAGCUGCUGCCCCUCUUAUGGUAGUCCUUCGAUUGGUGGAUUCUGGUAUUAAACCCGCCAUGGGUUUUAUAUAUGAGGAGAUGGAUUGUGCAAAAGAAAGAAUUCAGAGCAACUUUAAUAAUGUAAAAAAAAGCUAUGAACCUAUAUGGGAAAUUAUUGAUAAGAGGUGGGAUAGUCAACUUCAUAGGCCUUUGCAUGCUGCUGGGUAUUAUCUUAAUCCUCAAUUACAUUAUGAAGCUAAUUUUAGAAAUGAUGAUCAUGAGGUGAAGCAUGGGUUGUUAGAUUGUAUGAAAAGAUUGGUAAAGGAUCCUGCAACAAGAAAAAAAAUUAAUAUGCAGUUUCUUGAGUUUCAUUAUGCUAGAGGGCUUUUUGGCUUAGAUGAUGCAAAGGAAUGCAGGAAGGAAAUGCUUCCUGCAGAAUGGUGGGAGAUGUUUGGGGAUCAUUGUCCAGAAUUGAAAAGGUUUGCCAUUCGUGUUUUAAGCUUGACUUGUAGUUCUUCUGGAUGUGAGCGUAAUUGGAGCUCAUUUGAAAUGGUUCAUACAAAAAGGAGAAACCGCUUGCAUCAAAAAAGCAUGGUUGUCAAUCUCUAG
This is a non-coding RNA of Cajanus cajan (pigeon pea), 2708 nucleotides long. The record is from RefSeq and is a predicted model, not a curated record. NCBI's taxonomy places the organism in Eukaryota, Viridiplantae, Streptophyta, Magnoliopsida, Fabales, Fabaceae.